AUAAAAGCUAGCCUAUCAGGACUAAAAUCUUUGCAAAAGCUGCAGUAGAUUACUGCAGGGUGAUCACUGCAAGUUUCUAUGAAAAAAGAGACCUAAUGUGGUUGGGAAUUACUGUGCAUGGAGUGGCGAUCGGUAGAAGUUUUGCUGUUGAGUGCGCCAGGAGCUGAAUCAAGGCACAGGUGAGGCGUGUGGCACCUCUCAGUGCUUCACCUCAUACCCCAACAUGCGACACAGUCAACUGCUGUUGACCCGGCAGCGAGGAGUGAACCGCUGCGCUCGCUAGCUCCGGCGAGGCUCACAAGAAAAACAGAAGCUAUCCCACCCUGAACAAAGAGGAAGAGUAUGUGAAAUUACUCACAAAGCAAGAACUCGCCACAGAGCCGCCCAGCAUCCCGAUCACGGUGUGCUGAGCAACACGUGCAAGCAGGGACAGGCAAGAAGGAGGAAAGGAAAACAUCUGUGGAGAGAAAAGUCAACAAAUCUCAAGAGCCAAAGUGUCAUUAGUUCUAAAAUCAUAGAGGUCGGGUUAAGGAAUCCUCUGUGCAGGAUCGCAGAUACCAGUUGGGAGCCAAGUACAAAGGAAAGGGAAAGAGGAGCAUCUGUGCAACAUAAAAUCUUGCCAAUUUUCAGCUUUAUAAUCAGUUUAACCAUUUCUUCAAAUUCCAGCGAGCUGAAUAUUGCUUUCUUGCAUGCAUGCAGUGAGGAAGUCCCAGUUCUUUUUCUACAUGCAGUUAUCCUCACCAGAGCAUGCCAAAAGAACUAGAGAACGUGCACGGAAACACAGCUCUGGACUGUAUCAUUAUACCGGAUUAUUGUAGUUUAACUAAACAUCUAUUUGCAGCUUUUAACUGAAAAGUGUACACUGCGUUAUUCUGCAGGAGUGCAUCUCUUUUGUUCAGUGUUUAUUAUAACCAUUCACUGGGAAAAAUGACUCUUUUCAAAUUUCACUCGAGCAUGUACUUCUGCUUAGAUAAGAGAAUUACUGUGUUUUCUAUCAUUUCCUUUGUCCAUAGUUCAUUGCUGUUAUUAUCAAGUACCAAACAGUCAGAAUGAUCCUUGGUUCAAGACAUACCUCCAUUAAUAUAAUCCUUUCCUAACCUAGGUUUCUAAAGAGCGUUGAAUGAUUAUACCUUUAGAUGAGAAUCUCAGUCUCUUAAGCAAGUGUAAUGCCACUGCCCA
Molecule: long non-coding RNA, 1179 nt
Organism: Dromaius novaehollandiae (emu)
Lineage: Eukaryota; Metazoa; Chordata; Aves; Casuariiformes; Dromaiidae
Exons: 3
Source: RefSeq, a predicted model, not a curated record